ACUGCCCAUUUCUUGAUUGAGGACAUGAAAAUGGUGAAAAAGGCUGUUGCUAAUGCGACCAUUAAUGAUGUUCUUUUGGGAAUGAUAUCAGCUGGAUUUUCAAGGUACUUGGAUCAUCGAUCGCCAAAUUCUUUGAAGAAGAAUCAGCGACUCACAGGAGUAGCCAUGGUUAAUUUAAAAGAGCCGAUAACAUUGCAGGAUGGAUCUGAACAAAAUGAUAGAAAGC
Molecule: unclassified non-coding RNA, 226 nt
Filed under: Hevea brasiliensis (rubber tree)
Lineage: Eukaryota; Viridiplantae; Streptophyta; Magnoliopsida; Malpighiales; Euphorbiaceae
Source: RNAcentral